UGGCGACCGGCGCACGGGUGCGUAACGCGUAUGCAACCUACCUUUAACAGGGGGAUAACACUGAGAAAUUGGUACUAAUACCCCAUAAUAUCAUAGAAGGCAUCUUUUAUGGUUGAAAGUUCCGAUGGUUAGAGAUGGGCAUGCGUUGUAUUAGCUAGUUGGUGGGGUAACGGCUCACCAAGGCGACGAUACAUAGGGGGACUGAGAGGUUAACCCCCCACACUGGUACUGAGACACGGUCCAA
This 244-nucleotide ribosomal RNA is filed under the name uncultured bacterium. RNAcentral's name for it is "partial 16S ribosomal RNA". It matches the Rfam family "Bacterial small subunit ribosomal RNA", at positions 89 to 334 of the family's 1533-position model. The record is from RNAcentral.